Molecule: unclassified non-coding RNA, 1789 nt
Filed under: Hevea brasiliensis (rubber tree)
Lineage: Eukaryota; Viridiplantae; Streptophyta; Magnoliopsida; Malpighiales; Euphorbiaceae
Source: RNAcentral
AAAAAAAAAAAAAAUUUAAAAAAUAAAUAAAAAAAAUAAAGCAGUGUGGGCGUUUCAGGAGACUGAUGAGCAUCCCAAGCAAUCCAGUGCCAAUCUGCGACAUUGGGUCGGUCUGGAUUUUGAAAAGGUAUUAUUAAGAUGGCACAGUUAGGUUUUGGCCCAACUCACUUGGGCUCAAGCCACCACACAAACCUCCUGCACUUCCUUCUCCGUCUCUUUAAACCUGUGCUCGGCGCCUCCAUUCACAUUCCGGCCAACGCAAGAGGAAAAACGGAAGCGAAAUGGAGUAUAAAGACAAGGUCAGAAUCGCAGUGGCCAUAGCUUCUCUUGCAGCAAUUUCAAUCCUUUUCACGAGUCAGUAUCGUAGACGCCGAAAGCAAAAAUGCCUUGCAAGUUCAUGCUAUUUGCAAUCCGACUCAAAGCCUCAGUUCGCUUUCAAGCGCGUUUUAGCUGAUAACUCCUUUUCUCAUUUCAAGCACUUGAAGCUUCAAAGCUCCACUAACAAGAUUUCUUCGAAUUUGCACCCAUAUGAACCGGAGAUUACAGCUUUCAUAGAGAAUCCUCGAGUUGAAUUUGAAUUUGAUAUGUAUACUAGCAUAGAUUUGAAGGAAAUGAAUGACGUCUAUGUUUGGGUUGAAACUGAGUCUCAGUUGAAGGAGCUAGCUGAUGCAUUGAGUAAAGAGAGGUUUUUUGCUGUUGAUACUGAGCAGCAUAGCUUACGCUCUUUUCUAGGUUUCACUGCUUUAAUUCAGAUUUCCACUCAAAAAGAAGAUUAUUUGCUGGAUACGAUCAAAUUACAUGAUGCAAUGGGAAUUCUAAGCCCAGUUUUUGCUGAUCCUACUAUUUGCAAGGUGUUCCAUGGGGCAGAUAAUGAUGUUCUCUGGCUACAAAGAGACUUCCACAUAUAUGUUGUUAAUUUGUUCGACACUGCAAAGGCAUGUGAGGUGCUGUCUAAACCACAGAAAUCACUGGCGUACUUACUUGAAACUUAUUGUGGUGUAGCUACAAACAAAUUGCUCCAGCGUGAAGACUGGAGGCAACGUCCAUUAUCAGCAGAGAUGUUACAAUAUGCUCGAACAGAUGUGCACUAUCUAUUGUAUAUUGUAGCUUGUUUAAUUGCUGAGCUCAAACAACAAGACAAUGGUAUGUUUUUAUCUUGCCAUCAUAAAUUUUCCACAAUUUUUUUUUUAUUUUUUAAUUUCCAAUGAUUUAUAUUGCUAUAGAUGUCAAAGAAAAAUGAAGGAUCGUACCAUUUAAACACGGUGCCAUUUAAAUAUGCAAAGUAUCAAUAUGACAAAACAAUAAAAGCUGGUCAUUGAGACUCGGAUAUUUCCUUUGUACUUAGGGAGAGGGGACAAUGGCUGCUUCUAACAGAUUCAUAGAAAAGGUUUAACUUUAGAAAUUCAAAAUUUAGGGGCAUUAUACCUCAGGAAAGUAAAAAGAACUUAGUAGAGGUAAAAAACAAUAAAUUUAUUCCUUGGCACUUGUUCAUCCAUUGCACAUAGUUUUAUGUCGAUAACCGUUCAAAACAUUUAUAACCACCUCAUAGCAUCAAGGAGCUAAAAAUGGUAAUGGACCAGAUAACUCAACUCACCCAGAUGGCAAAUUACAUUUAACACUUGAGGCUAGUCGCCGUUCAAACAUGACUUGUCUGCAACUCUACACUAAAGAGGUUGAAGAUUUUCCCGGUGAGUCUGCUGCAUUAUCAAUUUUUUCUCGACAUUUGAACGGUCAAGGAGGUUCAUCAGUUUCAUGUUUUAAUAGAGCAGGUCGUCUCAAGUAACCUUCC